This 237-nucleotide long non-coding RNA is filed under the name Capsicum annuum. RNAcentral's name for it is "long non-coding RNA (CANN_LNC004958)". The record is from RNAcentral. Lineage: Eukaryota; Viridiplantae; Streptophyta; Magnoliopsida; Solanales; Solanaceae.
CCGUGUUGAAACAAACUGGCAGCACAACCUUACUUCACCCAGUCAAAAGUUUAUAAAAUCCCAUCCCAUAACCAUUAUUCAAAUAUGACUGGAAGCGACGAAGAUAAUGUAUUGACCAUCACGAAUAAUGUGAUAGCAAAAUAAAGCGAGAUAAUUGUUGAACUUGUGAGGAAAUUGGAAAUGCUUCAAGAGGUGAUGAACCUUACUAGAGAUUUGGCUAAUCUGGCCAUCACUGUC